GAUGAACGCUGGCGGCGUGCCUAAUACAUGCAAGUCGAGCGAACAGACGAGGAGCUUGCUCCUCUGACGUUAGCGGCGGACGGGUGAGUAACACGUGGAUAACCUACCUAUAAGACUGGGAUAACUUCGGGAAGCCGGAGCUAAUACCGGAUAAUAUAUUGAACCGCAUGGUUCAAUAGUGAAAGACGGUUUUGCUGUCACUUAUAGAUGGAUCCGCGCCGCAUUAGCUAGUUGGUAAGGUAACGGCUUAACAAGGCAACGAUGCGGAGCCGACCUGAGAGGGGGAUCGGCCACACUGGAACUGAGACACGGUCCAGACUCCUACGGGAGGCAGCAGUAGGGAAUCUUCCGCAAUGGGCGAAAGCCUGACGGAGCAACGCCGCGUGAGUGAUGAAGGUCUUCGGAUCGUAAAACUCUGUUAUUAGGGAAGAACAAAUGUGUAAGUAACUAUGCACGUCUUGACGGUACCUAAUCAGAAAGCCACGGCUAACUACGUG
This 497-nucleotide ribosomal RNA is filed under the name uncultured bacterium. RNAcentral's name for it is "partial 16S ribosomal RNA". It matches the Rfam family "Bacterial small subunit ribosomal RNA", at positions 28 to 507 of the family's 1533-position model. The record is from RNAcentral.